AGAGUUUGAUCCUGGCUCAGAUUGAACGCUGGCGGCAUGCCUAACACAUGCAAGUCGAACGGAAACGAUGGAAGCUUGCUUCCAGGCGUCGAGUGGCGGACGGGUGAGUAAUACUUAGGAAUCUGCCCAUUAGUGGGGGACAACUCGAGGAAACUCGAGCUAAUACCGCAUACGCCCUACGGGGGAAAGCGGGGGUCUUCGGACCUCGCGCUAAUGGAUGAGCCUAAGCCGGAUUAGCUUGUUGGUAGGGUAAUGGCCUACCAAGGCGACGAUCCGUAGCUGUUCUGAGAGGAAGAUCAGCCACACUGGGACUGAGACACGGCCCAGACUCCUACGGGAGGCAGCAGUGGGGAAUAUUGGACAAUGGGCGCAAGCCUGAUCCAGCAAUGCCGCGUGUGUGAAGAAGGCCUGCGGGUUGUAAAGCACUUUCAGUAGAGAAGAAAAGCUUAGGGUUAAUACCCCUGGGUCUUGACGUUACCUACAGAAGAAGCUCCGGCUAACUCCGUGCCAGCAGCCGCGGUAAUACGGAGGGAGCGAGCGUUAAUCGGAAUUACUGGGCGUAAAGCGCGCGUAGGCGGCUUUGUCAGUCGGAUGUGAAAGCCCUGGGCUCAACCUGGGAAUGGCAUUCGAUACUGCAGAGCUAGAGUAUGGUAGAGGGAAGUGGGAUUUCCGGUGUAGCGGUGAAAUGCGUAGAUAUCG
This 699-nucleotide ribosomal RNA is filed under the name uncultured bacterium. RNAcentral's name for it is "bacterial SSU rRNA". It matches the Rfam family "Bacterial small subunit ribosomal RNA", at positions 8 to 699 of the family's 1533-position model. The record is from RNAcentral.